GAUGAACGCUGGCGGCGUGCCUAAUACAUGCAAGUCGAGCGAACAGACGAGGAGCUUGCUCCUCUGACGUUAGCGGCGGACGGGUGAGUAACACGUGGAUAACCUACCUAUAAGACUGGGAUAACUUCGGGAAACCGGAGCUAAUACCGGAUAAUAUAUUGAACCGCAUGGUUCAAUAGUGAAAGGCGGUUUUGCUGUCACUUAUAGAUGGAUCCGCGCCGCAUUAGCUAGUUGGUAAGGUAACGGCUUACCAAGGCAACGAUGCGUAGCCGACCUGAGAGGGUGAUCGGCCACACUGGAACUGAGACACGGUCCAGACUCCUACGGGAGGCAGCAGUAGGGAAUCUUCCGCAAUGGGCGAAAGCCUGACGGAGCAACGCCGCGUGAGUGAUGAAGGUCUUCGGAUCGUAAAACUCUGUUAUUAGGGAAGAACAAAUGUGUAAGUAACUAUGCACGUCUUGACGGUACCUAACCAGAAAGCCACGGCUAACUACGUG
RNAcentral lists this ribosomal RNA (497 nucleotides) under uncultured bacterium. Its description in RNAcentral is "partial 16S ribosomal RNA". It matches the Rfam family "Bacterial small subunit ribosomal RNA", at positions 28 to 507 of the family's 1533-position model. The record is from RNAcentral.